GAGCCAUAUAAGACAAUAGAUAUAUAAGGAAGGACGCAAAUACCACCACUUCCUAUAGAAGUAGACAAUAAUGAAGAAUUUGAGAUAGAAGAAGUCUUAGAUUCAAGGUAGCACUGAAAUAGAUAAGGAUAUCUGAUAUAUUAGCAUGGAUAUGAUAUUAAUGAACACAAAUGGGAGCCAUCCAAGAAUCUACCAAAUGCAUUAGCCAAAGUUAAAGUUUUUCAUCAACAUCUAUCAAAAUCAAGAUGAAGAGUUAAGAAAUUCUUUGCUAUAAAGCAAAACAUAUCCAAUGGAAAUUUUAUUUUAUCUUGUAUUAUUAUUUCUUUGG
This 328-nucleotide long non-coding RNA is filed under the name Physcomitrium patens. RNAcentral describes it as "long non-coding RNA (PPAT_LNC008192)". The record is from RNAcentral. Lineage: Eukaryota; Viridiplantae; Streptophyta; Bryopsida; Funariales; Funariaceae.